This 505-nucleotide ribosomal RNA is filed under the name uncultured bacterium. RNAcentral's name for it is "partial 16S ribosomal RNA". It matches the Rfam family "Bacterial small subunit ribosomal RNA", at positions 28 to 507 of the family's 1533-position model. The record is from RNAcentral.
GACGAACGCUGGCGGCGUGCCUAAUACAUGCAAGUAGAACGCACAGUUUAUACCGUAGCUUGCUACACCAUAGACUGUGAGUUGCGAACGGGUGAGUAACGCGUAGGUAACCUGCCUGGUAGCGGGGGAUAACUAUUGGAAACGAUAGCUAAUACCGCAUAAUAUUGAUUAUUGCAUGAUAAUUAAUUGAAAGGUGCAAUUGCACCACUACCAGAUGGACCUGCGUUGUAUUAGCUAGUAGGGGAGGUAACGGCUCACCUAGGCGACGAUACAUAGCCGACCUGAGAGGGUGAUCGGCCCCACUGGGACUGGGACACGGCCCAGACUCCUACGGGAGGCAGCAGUAGGGAAUCUUCGGCAAUGGACGGAAGUCUGACCGAGCAACGCCGCGUGAGUGAAGAAGGUUUUCGGAUCGUAAAGCUCUGUUGUAAGAGAAGAACGGGUGUGAGAGUGGAAAGUUCACACUGUGACGGUAUCUUACCAGAAAGGGACGGCUAACUACGUG